This 168-nucleotide ribosomal RNA is filed under the name uncultured rumen bacterium. Its description in RNAcentral is "partial 16S ribosomal RNA". It matches the Rfam family "Bacterial small subunit ribosomal RNA", at positions 340 to 524 of the family's 1533-position model. The record is from RNAcentral.
UACGGGAGGCAGCAGUGGGGGAUAUUGCGCAAUGGGGGCAACCCUGACGCAGCAACGCCGCGUGAAGGAUGAAGGUUUUCGGAUUGUAAACUUCUUUUAUCAGGGACGAAAAUUGACGGUACCUGAUGAAUAAGCUCCGGCUAACUACGUGCCAGCAGCCGCGGUAAU